RNAcentral lists this non-coding RNA (309 nucleotides) under Drosophila ananassae. RNAcentral's name for it is "Eukaryotic large subunit ribosomal RNA". It matches the Rfam family "Eukaryotic large subunit ribosomal RNA", at positions 3138 to 3401 of the family's 3401-position model. Lineage: Eukaryota; Metazoa; Arthropoda; Insecta; Diptera; Drosophilidae. The record is from Rfam by way of RNAcentral.
GUAUCCGUGCUGGACUGCAAUGAUAAAUAAGGGGCAAUUUGCAUUGUAUGGCUUCUAAACCAUUUAAAGUUUAUUAUUUAUAUUUUAAACGACAAUGGAUGUGAUGCCAAUGUAAUUUGUAACAUAGUAAAUUGGGAGGAUCUUUGAUCACCUGGUGCCAUGCUAGUUACAUAUGAAAACAUUAUUUAAUACAAUGACAAAGCCUAGAAUCAAUUGUAAACGACUUUUGUAACGGGCAAGGUGUUGUAAGUGGUUGAGCAGCUGCCAUACUGCGAUCCACUGAAGCUUAUCCUUUGCUUGAUGAUUCGA